CAUAGGUUAAUGAGGCGAACCGGGGGAACUGAAACAUCUAAGUACCCCGAGGAAAAGAAAUCAACCGAGAUUCCCCCAGUAGCGGCGAGCGAACGGGGAGCAGCCCAGAGCCUGAAUCAGUGUGUGUGUUAGUGGAAGCGUCUGGAAAGGCGCGCGAUACAGGGUGACAGCCCCGUACACAAAAAUGCACAUGCUGUGAGCUCGAUGAGUAGGGCGGGACACGUGGUAUCCUGUCUGAAUAUGGGGGGACCAUCCUCCAAGGCUAAAUACUCCUGACUGACCGAUAGUGAACCAGUACCGUGAGGGAAAGGCGAAAAGAACCCCGGCGAGGGGAGUGAAAAAGAACCUGAAACCGUGUACGUACAAGCAGUGGGAGCACGCUUAGGCGUGUGACUGCGUACCUUUUGUAUAAUGGGUCAGCGACUUAUAUUCUGUAGCAAGGUUAACCGAAUAGGGGAGCCGAAGGGAAACCGAGUCUUAACUGGGCGUUAAGUUGCAGGGUAUAGACCCGAAACCCGGUGAUCUAGCCAUGGGCAGGUUGAAGGUUGGGUAACACUAACUGGAGGACCGAACCGACUAAUGUUGAAAAAUUAGCGGAUGACUUGUGGCUGGGGGUGAAAGGCCAAUCAAACCGGGAGAUAGCUGGUUCUCCCCGAAAGCUAUUUAGGUAGCGCCUCGUGAAUUCAUCUCCGGGGGUAGAGCACUGUUUCGGCAAGGGGGUCAUCCCGACUUACCAACCCGAUGCAAACUGCGAAUACCGGAGAAUGUUAUCACGGGAGACACACGGCGGGUGCUAACGUCCGUCGUGAAGAGGGAAACAACCCAGACCGCCAGCUAAGGUCCCAAAGUCAUGGUUAAGUGGGAAACGAUGUGGGAAGGCCCAGACAGCCAGGAUGUUGGCUUAGAAGCAGCCAUCAUUUAAAGAAAGCGUAAUAGCUCACUGGUCGAGUCGGCCUGCGCGGAAGAUGUAACGGGGCUAAACCAUGCACCGAAGCUGCGGCAGCGACGCUUAUGCGUUGUUGGGUAGGGGAGCGUUCUGUAAGCCUGCGAAGGUGUGCUGUGAGGCAUGCUGGAGGUAUCAGAAGUGCGAAUGCUGACAUAAGUAACGAUAAAGCGGGUGAAAAGCCCGCUCGCCGGAAGACCAAGGGUUCCUGUCCAACGUUAAUCGGGGCAGGGUGAGUCGACCCCUAAGGCGAGGCCGAAAGGCGUAGUCGAUGGGAAACAGGUUAAUAUUCCUGUACUUGGUGUUACUGCGAAGGGGGGACGGAGAAGGCUAUGUUGGCCGGGCGACGGUUGUCCCGGUUUAAGCGUGUAGGCUGGUUUUCCAGGCAAAUCCGGAAAAUCAAGGCUGAGGCGUGAUGACGAGGCACUACGGUGCUGAAGCAACAAAUGCCCUGCUUCCAGGAAAAGCCUCUAAGCAUCAGGUAACAUCAAAUCGUACCCCAAACCGACACAGGUGGUCAGGUAGAGAAUACCAAGGCGCUUGAGAGAACUCGGGUGAAGGAACUAGGCAAAAUGGUGCCGUAACUUCGGGAGAAGGCACGCUGAUAUGUAGGUGAAGUCCCUCGCGGAUGGAGCUGAAAUCAGUCGAAGAUACCAGCUGGCUGCAACUGUUUAUUAAAAACACAGCACUGUGCAAACACGAAAGUGGACGUAUACGGUGUGACGCCUGCCCGGUGCCGGAAGGUUAAUUGAUGGGGUUAGCGCAAGCGAAGCUCUU
This 1720-nucleotide ribosomal RNA is filed under the name Escherichia coli. RNAcentral's name for it is "partial 23S ribosomal RNA". It matches the Rfam family "Bacterial large subunit ribosomal RNA", at positions 165 to 1909 of the family's 2925-position model. Lineage: Bacteria; Pseudomonadati; Pseudomonadota; Gammaproteobacteria; Enterobacterales; Enterobacteriaceae. The record is from RNAcentral.